RNAcentral lists this transfer RNA (90 nucleotides) under Planctomycetota bacterium. RNAcentral describes it as "tRNA-Ser". It matches the Rfam family "tRNA". Rfam says of the family: Transfer RNA (tRNA) molecules are approximately 80 nucleotides in length. Their secondary structure includes four short double-helical elements and three loops (D, anti-codon, and T loops). The record is from RNAcentral. Lineage: Bacteria; Pseudomonadati; Planctomycetota.
GGAGAGGUGGGUGAGUGGCUGAAACCAACGGUUUGCUAAACCGUCGUACGGGUACUGCCUGUACCGCGGGUUCGAAUCCCGCCCUCUCCG